UGAACGCUAGCGGCAGGCCUAACACAUGCAAGUCGAGGGGUAACGAUUAGAUAGCUUGCUAUUUAAGGCGACGACCGGCGCACGGGUGAGUAACGCGUAUGCAACCUACCUUUAACUGAGGAAUAGCCCGGAGAAAUUCGGAUUAAUGCCUCAUAAUAUUUUUCUAAUACCUAUUAGAAUCAUUAAAGCUCCGGCGGUUAAAGAUGGGCAUGCGUGACAUUAGAUAGUUGGUAAGGUAACGGCUUACCAAGUCUACGAUGUCUAGGGGGCCUGAGAGGGUAAUCCCCCACACUGGUACUGAGACACGGACCAGACUCCUACGGGAGGCAGCAGUGAGGAAUAUUGGGCAAUGGAGGCAACUCUGACCCAGCCAUGCCGCGUGCAGGAAGACGGCUCUACGAGUUGUAAACUGCUUUUACACGGGAAUAAACUUCACUACGUGUAGUGAACUGAAUGUACCGUAUGAAUAAGCACCGGCUAACUCC
This 485-nucleotide ribosomal RNA is filed under the name uncultured bacterium. RNAcentral's name for it is "bacterial SSU rRNA". It matches the Rfam family "Bacterial small subunit ribosomal RNA", at positions 30 to 504 of the family's 1533-position model. The record is from RNAcentral.